RNAcentral lists this non-coding RNA (27 nucleotides) under Rattus norvegicus (Norway rat). The record is from RNAcentral. Lineage: Eukaryota; Metazoa; Chordata; Mammalia; Rodentia; Muridae.
UAGGCUAAACCAGAAGAAGGUGCUAAG